AGUGGCGAACGGGUGAGUAAUAUAUCGGAACGUACCCAGAAGUGGGGGAUAACGUAGCGAAAGUUACGCUAAUACCGCAUACGAUCUACGGAUGAAAGCAGGGGAUCGCAAGACCUUGUGCUUUUGGAGCGGCCGAUAUCUGAUUAGCUAGUUGGUGAGGUAAAGGCUCACCAAGGCGACGAUCAGUAGCUGGUCUGAGAGGACGACCAGCCACACUGGAACUGAGACACGGUCCAGACUCCUACGGGAGGCAGCAGUGGGGAAUUUUGGACAAUGGGGGCAACCCUGAUCCAGCAAUGCCGCGUGAGUGAAGAAGGCCUUCGGGUUGUAAAGCUCUUUUGUCAGGGAAGAAACGGGAGUGGCUAAUAUCCAUUCCUAAUGACGGUACCUGAAGAAUAAGCACCGGCUAACUACGUGCCAGCAGCCGCGGUAAUACGUAGGGUGCAAGCGUUAAUCGGAAUUACUGGGCGUAAAGCGUGCGCAGGCGGUUUUGUAAGUCUGACGUGAAAUCCCCGGGCUUAACCUGGGAAUUGCGUUGGAGACUGCAAGGCUGGUGUCUGGCAGAGGGGGGUAGAAUUCCACGUGUAGCAGUGAAAUGCGUAGAGAUGUGGAGGAACACCGAUGGCGAAGGCAGCCCCCUGGGUCAAGACUGACGCUCAUGCACGAAAGCGUGGGGAGCAAACAGGAUUAGAUACCCUGGUAGUCCACGCCCUAAACGAUGUCUACUAGUUGUCGGGUUUUAAUUAACUUGGUAACGCAGCUAACGCGUGAAGUAGACCGCCUGGGGAGUACGGUCGCAAGAUUAAAACUCAAAGGAAUUGACGGGGACCCGCUCAAGCGGUGGAUGAUGUGGAUUAAUUCGAUGCAACGCGAAAAACCUUACCUACCCUUGACAUGUCAGGAAUCCCGGAGAGAUCUGGGAGUGCCCGAAAGGGAGCCUGAACACAGGUGCUGCAUGGCUGUCGUCAGCUCGUGUCGUGAGAUGUUGGGUUAAGUCCCGCAACGAGCGCAACCCUUGUCAUUAGUUGCUACGAAAGGGCACUCUAAUGAGACUGCCGGUGACAAACCGAGGAAGGUGGGGAUGACGUCAAGUCCUCAUGGCCCUUAUGGGUAGGGCUUCACACGUCAUACAAUGGUACAUACAGAGGGCCGCCAACCCGCGAGGGGGAGCUAAUCCCAGAAAGUGUAUCGUAGUCCGGAUCGUAGUCUGCAACUCGACUACGUGAAGUUGGAAUCGCUAGUAAUCGCGGAUCAGCAUGUCGCGGUGAAUACGUUCCCGGGUCUUGUACACACCGCCCGUCA
RNAcentral lists this ribosomal RNA (1302 nucleotides) under uncultured Massilia sp. RNAcentral's name for it is "bacterial SSU rRNA". It matches the Rfam family "Bacterial small subunit ribosomal RNA", at positions 94 to 1399 of the family's 1533-position model. The record is from RNAcentral. Lineage: Bacteria; Pseudomonadati; Pseudomonadota; Betaproteobacteria; Burkholderiales; Oxalobacteraceae.